UGCUACUUCUAGAGAUAGAAGGUUCCCUUCGGGGACAGAGUGACAGGUGGUGCAUGGUUGUCGUCAGCUCGUGUCGUGAGAUGUUGGGUUAAGUCCCGCAACGAGCGCAACCCUUGAUCUUAGUUGCCAGCAUUCAGUUGGGCACUCUAAGGUGACUGCCGGUGACAAACCGGAGGAAGGUGGGGAUGACGUCAAAUCAUCAUGCCCCUUAUGACCUGGGCUACACACGUGCUACAAUGGAUGGUACAAAGGGCUGCAAAACCGUGAGGUCGAGCCAAUCCCAUAAAACCAUUCUCAGUUCGGAUUGUAGGCUGCAACUCGCCUACAUGAAGCCGGAAUCGCUAGUAAUCGCGGAUCAGCAUGCCGCGGUGAAUACGUUCCCGGGUCUUGUACACACCGCCCGUCACACCACGAGAGUUUUAACACCCGAAGUCGGUGAGGUA
Molecule: ribosomal RNA, 443 nt
Filed under: Bacillus sp. MAL1
Lineage: Bacteria; Bacillati; Bacillota; Bacilli; Caryophanales; Bacillaceae
Description: bacterial SSU rRNA
Rfam family: Bacterial small subunit ribosomal RNA
Source: RNAcentral